AAAAAAAAAUUUAGGGUGAAGAAAUAACAUUUUGAAUUGUACAUAUUUCUAUUCCCAUAACACCUCAGAAUUUGGGCACAAUCUACAAAUAAAUAGAUGGAUAGAGGCAGAUUAUGAUAGAAAGAUGAUAGAUGAUAGAUAGAUAGAUAGACAGACAGACAGAUAGAACAGCCUGAAUAUUAUGUGAAACAUUAUAUAUAAAAAUAACUAUUUCUAGAUAAUCAUAAGGGGUUUUAAACUAUUUGGCAAAAUGUGACCAUUCAAAUAUUUUUUAAGUUAAUAGAAUAAAAGUUUCCAGUAUUUACCAAUUAUAAUAUAAUUAAAUAAUGUCCUGGAUACCUUAGAAAGUCAACCCUUGAAUUAUCCUGACUUCUUAUAGUAUGUUCUAGGUAUCUAGCUUUUUAGUUUAGGAACUCUGUCAUCCUUAUCUACAAUGUCUUCUUUUGUAUUUUUCCCUAGAAUACAGAAUAAAAUGCUUUUCUCCAGUUUUUGUAAUUAUGUCAAUACAAUGUAUCCCACAAACCCAUCAUUUGGGUCUUGCUAUUGAAACUUUUAUUCCAAAUGUCUUUGCCUUCCCUGCAAGAUUAAAACAAAAAUCAAUUUAUUCUAAAAGAGGAUUUGCCUAAGACCAGAAAGUUAUUGCUUUGCUUAGAAAAUGUUUUCUAUUCCUUUUUGGUUUUUUGUCUUAUUUGGAAUUGUGUGACUGAUGUAACCUUGCAGGAUCGCAGCCAAGCUAAUGAAACAUUUUUAUUAUAAUAAUAGCUAACAUUUAUUUAGUGAAUGUGCAUUAUGCCAACUCUUUCCAAAUACUUGACUUUUAGCAUCUCAUUUAAUCCACACAAUAAUUUGAUGAGGAUGGGUAACAAUGAGAUCCAUUUAAUACAUAGAAAAAUGAGGCAUACUGCGGGGUUAGCACCAUGUUCAGGAUCACUUAUGUACUGUGGGUAGAGCCAAAAUAUGAACGCAGGUAGCCUGGUGCCAGGUCUCACUGCAGCUUUUCUAUGAUAUGGAUUGAAGCCAAGUUUUAGGCAGCAUUUAGUAAUUAUCAGCUUUUGCUCUCAAUCUAGCCUUUUAUAUUAGUUUUAUAUAAUUCUCAAGCCCUUAAGAAAAUGAAUAGAAGUCACAUAUUAGUCAUGAAUCAUGUUUGGGAAAAGGGAACCACAACAGAGCUUGAUAGCGAUGCAUUUCAUUUCAGUUCUUUUAUAAAAAUCAGUGUGUGACGCCAUUCUUUCCCGUCCUGCCUUUUUUUUUUUUUUUUUUUUUUUUUUUUUUUUGACGGAGUUUCGCUGUUGUUGCCCAGGCUGGAGUCCAAUGGCGCGAUCUCGGCGCACCGCAACCUCCGCCUCCCGGGUUCAAGCAAUUCUCUUGCCUCAGCCUUCCGAGUAGCUGGGAUUACAGGCAUGCGCCACCACGUCUGGCUAAUUUUGUAUUUUUUUUUAGUAGGGACGGGGUUUCUCCACAUUGGUCAGACUGGUCUUGAACUCCAGACCUCAAGUGAUCCACCCGCCUUGGCCUCCCAAAGUACUGGGAUCUGUUCUGCCUUUUCACCUUCCACCAUGACAGCUCUUUCUCUGUCUUCUGCAGACUCAUCUUCUACGCGUCAUUCAAAUAUUGGUGGUCUACAGCAGCGGUCCCCAAACUUCUUGGUACCAGGGCCAGUUUUGUGGAAGACAAUUUUCCUAAAUACCAGAAAGAGGAAAAGCUGGGGUUUGGUUUCAGGAUGAAACUUCCACCUCAGAUCAUCAGGUUAGAUUCUCCUAAGUAGAGCGCACGUUGGAUCCCUCGCAUGCGCAGUUCACAAUAGGUUCACGCUCCUGUGAUAAUCUGCUCCCUCGCCUGCCCACCCACCCGCCAGUACCCCUGGUCUAGAGGAUCUUUGGCUCAGGACCUUUCUCCAUAAAUUUCCAAGUGAUAUGACCAGUGGGCACCAAAGACUACCUGUGUGCAUUAGUGGCUUCCAAAUCCUCUCGUCUAGACCAUGCUUAUCUUGGUUUAAUACUACACAGCAGGGAUUUUCUCUGAGACAGUGCAGAUAUGGCCACUCUUUCCAACAAGUGAAAGUGGACACAACUGUGGGUAAAAAGUGAG
RNAcentral lists this long non-coding RNA (2088 nucleotides) under Homo sapiens (human). RNAcentral describes it as "HSALNT0334753". Lineage: Eukaryota; Metazoa; Chordata; Mammalia; Primates; Hominidae. The record is from RNAcentral.